UGCUUGGACAUGAUUAUCUUGACGGAAAUUUAUAUUCAAGUGCAGUGCAUCAGUUCAUAUUUUGAAUUAAAAAUAAUUUGAAUUGGCAUAAAUAAUCAGUCUUCGUUCAGCAUAAUAUAUACAAAGAAGAUUCAAAUACGACUUAAUAAGAAGACUCAAAUUGAACACAUUGUUAAAGUUGAACUUGUAAAUCUUGAAGAAACUUUUCCAGAAAAUGUUUAAAAGAUGCAAUGACUUGAUAAUUAAGGUCUAGGAAGGACAAAAAAUAGACAUAAUAAGGAUGUCUUAUGGUUCGACUGUUAUGCCAGUUUUUAUCACUGCUGUGUGGACUAAUCAUUGCAGCAAUGACUUCAUUAAUACCAAGAAAUGAUGGAAUUUGUUUUUAUGGCUGAAUAAUGAGAUUACAAAAGUAAACAGUGUAGCUCUCUCUGAGUAUACUCUGAAUUAUCUGGGUAUGUUGGUUAUUUGUCUUGCGAUAUUUAUAUAGGCAAACAGCAUUAAAAUUUGGAGAUCUAAAGUCAACAGUGUGUGUUGGAACCAUGUUUGCAUAUGGGGAUAUUUUAUAAUGAUAGGUAAUGAAAAAGACAAAAAAGUUGUACCAAUUAAUGAAUGAAAUUUUUGUGCAGUUUAUUAGGAAAUUGUAAAGAAUUGUUUAUUGUGCUCAGCUAUGUUCAUAAUUUUAGUGUUUCUGUUGAAAGAACAGAUAAGUAAGCAAGAUAAGUGUCUGGGAAAAUCAUAUACAGAUAGCUGGUUUUGCAUAUUGUGAUAAUAUGAGUUUUCAAUUUACUUGAUCACGCAUAUUGGGUCAUUUUGCAUUACCUGUAAUGUAUGAAAGUAAUGUGCAGAGUGAAAAAAAAUUUCAAAAUCAAAUAUUUGUCAUUUGUCUUAUCUAUUGAUUUAGGUAGGUCUAUUGAUCCUUGUUAUGAUCUUCAAACUUUGAAAUGUUUUAUUUAAUAUGGUAAGAAAAAUAUUCACCCUCAUAAGUUUCUGCAUGCCUGUACAUAAUCGUGUGUGGCUAGGGCCUGGUAGAUAGUGCUUGUGGAUUAAGUUUCACACUGCCUGUUAGGAUUUCGGAUGAGCCUCAAAUAUCUGGGUAACCUGCAUGCAAACAUUUACUUAGAACAAAUAACCUGGGGGUUAGGGACGAGAUUUACCAUUUUUAGCUAGGUGCCUGAUAGGUUCACACUAGUAUCACUCGCACGGUGUGGAAGUUAUGGACAUCUCAAUGAGAAAGGAUUUUUUUUUGAGGGGGCAGAAAUUGUGAGGAACUGCAUAUUGUUACAGCUGUGAACGUCUCUUAAGAAUGGAUUAGAAAGUUAAGUUGUGAGGAUUUUUGUGAUUUUAUAAGAUCUGACUCUGUUUUUGUGGAAGGAUUAGAAUGGAUGGUUUUGUAUUACGAAAAUUUUAACCUUAUAAGUUACUUGUAUGAAAUUUGAGAAUAUGUAGUUCAAGAAGAUGAAAUAAUUGGUCAUUUGGUUUAAAAGAAAUGUACUUCCUGCCUCUUCUUAACAGAAUGAUAUGCUACUCUUUAAAUCUUGCAUUACUGUGGUAAAAAAAAAAACCACCCUGUCCAAGUUCAGGGAGUUGUAUUUUCAGUUUCAUUUUUCAUUUUUUAAUCAUUAAAAAGAGAUCUGGCUCCUUGUACAAUUUGAAGUAUAUAUGGAUCCUGAUAAGGUGGUUAUAAGGUUGUAAAUCUGAGAGGUCUGUAAAAAACAAUUGAGCGUGGGUAGACAGGGUAUUUCUUGUCUUUGGAGAAAGAUAUAAGAUCUUGAGUGGCUAUUGCAACAAAAGAUUUGAAUUUGUUUGUUUAAAGUGCUUAUUGGUUUGAAUGCUUUCAUUUUUACUUACAACUAGUUGCAUUGAUGGGGUGUAUUUGAAAGGAGGGAGAUGUGUCUGGAAGAGACUGCUUUUCGAAGGAAAAUGGUUGUAUUUGGUAGAGGUGUGCUUGGAAUAAUGUCAUGUACAAGGUCUUCAGAAGGAGAUUGCAGGUGUAUUUGAAUGGGAAAGGGGCAUAUUUCAAAACGAAAAAAAAACGGGUGUAUUUGGAGUGGAGAGAGUUUUAUCUCAUCGUUAAUUGCCGGGUGAGAUUCAACUCCUCCAACUGCACACUACGCCAGCUUGCAGCUCAUGGACUUUUCUUCACAUCAAUACUGCGGGGCAGUUUUCUUCACAUCAAUACUGCGGGGCAGUUUUCUUCACAUCAAUACUGCGGGGCAGUUUUCUUCACAUCGAUACUGUGGGGCAGUUUUCUUCACAUCGAUACUGCGGGGCAGUUUUCAUAUCUACACUGUCUUUUUUGAUUCCUCAAUUGCAAUAUGACUGUGAAUAUUUGCCCUCUACUUAGUACAUAAGAUUAAAGAGUUACAGGUAUACUCAGUGUGUAAAGGUACACCUCAAGUUUGAAGCCUACUUGCAGUAUCAGAUAGAUAUUAUUAAUUAUGGACAAUCCACACUUAGCAUGUGAUAGGACGCAACCUUUACCCACCAGUGAGAUAUGUGCUCUAGAUGGAAUGAUCUGAUAACUGAUAAACCCUUGGCCUGUAUAACAAGAUUGGACUUGUCCGGAACGCCGUUGCCUGGGAAAGCUGGUCGUGUGAUUAGGGGGGUGUUUGUGUGCAGAUCCAAUGUGUACCAUCAUCCAAUCUCCCACUUAAACGAGGACCACUGAGCUAAAAAGUCUGCUAUCUACUGGCCCCGAUAAAGCUUGACAAAUACUGGAAGUGAAGCAGUAUAGGUACAUUAUAUACAGAGCUGCCUGUGAUCUUGUCCCAACACGGAAUAAAAUGAAAGUAGAACAAUUGCAGAAAAUAUGUCGCAUUGUAGUAGAUAUAUGUGUAUUUGUCUAGUUGUUAUUCAAAUUAAACAUUCAAUUCUU
Long non-coding RNA from Ostrea edulis (European flat oyster), 2875 nucleotides. RefSeq lists it as uncharacterized. The record is from RefSeq and is a predicted model, not a curated record. The transcript is spliced from 2 exons. Lineage: Eukaryota; Metazoa; Mollusca; Bivalvia; Ostreida; Ostreidae.